AAUCUUUCCUUCCACACAUGUGUGAUGAGCAUCCUGAGGCAAAGUACCAUUGAUCCUUGAAUCUCUCUUCAUCUCAUGUUGUAACCAUCAACAACGUCUCUUCUUCUUCAUGUUUCGCCAACUUUGCAUAAGUUUCUUAGUUCUUCUGCUUUUCUAGACAAUCACUAGAAUAGUGACCAUAGUUCUGAUAAUUGAAACACUGAAUGUGACUCUUGUCUGGCUUUUGACCACCACCUUUU
Molecule: long non-coding RNA, 239 nt
Filed under: Lathyrus oleraceus (garden pea)
Lineage: Eukaryota; Viridiplantae; Streptophyta; Magnoliopsida; Fabales; Fabaceae
Description: Pisum sativum (pea) long non-coding RNA (PSAT_LNC025281)
Source: RNAcentral